Molecule: ribosomal RNA, 680 nt
Filed under: Escherichia coli
Lineage: Bacteria; Pseudomonadati; Pseudomonadota; Gammaproteobacteria; Enterobacterales; Enterobacteriaceae
Description: bacterial SSU rRNA
Rfam family: Bacterial small subunit ribosomal RNA
Source: RNAcentral
UUCCGGAGCUAACGCGUUAAGUCGACCGCCUGGGGAGUACGGCCGCAAGGUUAAAACUCAAAUGAAUUGACGGGGGCCCGCACAAGCGGUGGAGCAUGUGGUUUAAUUCGAUGCAACGCGAAGAACCUUACCUGGUCUUGACAUCCACGGAAGUUUUCAGAGAUGAGAAUGUGCCUUCGGGAACCGUGAGACAGGUGCUGCAUGGCUGUCGUCAGCUCGUGUUGUGAAAUGUUGGGUUAAGUCCCGCAACGAGCGCAACCCUUAUCCUUUGUUGCCAGCGGUCCGGCCGGGAACUCAAAGGAGACUGCCAGUGAUAAACUGGAGGAAGGUGGGGAUGACGUCAAGUCAUCAUGGCCCUUACGACCAGGGCUACACACGUGCUACAAUGGCGCAUACAAAGAGAAGCGACCUCGCGAGAGCAAGCGGACCUCAUAAAGUGCGUCGUAGUCCGGAUUGGAGUCUGCAACUCGACUCCAUGAAGUCGGAAUCGCUAGUAAUCGUGGAUCAGAAUGCCACGGUGAAUACGUUCCCGGGCCUUGUACACACCGCCCGUCACACCAUGGGAGUGGGUUGCAAAAGAAGUAGGUAGCUUAACCUUCGGGAGGGCGCUUACCACUUUGUGAUUCAUGACUGGGGUGAAGUCGUAACAAGGUAACCGUAGGGGAACCUGCGGUUGGAUC